RNAcentral lists this ribosomal RNA (489 nucleotides) under uncultured bacterium. Its description in RNAcentral is "partial 16S ribosomal RNA". It matches the Rfam family "Bacterial small subunit ribosomal RNA", at positions 30 to 507 of the family's 1533-position model. The record is from RNAcentral.
UUGAACGCUGGCGGCAGGCCUAACACAUGCAAGUCGAACGGUAACGGGAAGCAGCUUGCUGCUUCGCUGACGAGUGGCGGACGGGUGAGUAAUGUCUGGGAGGCUGCCUGAUGGAGGGGGAUAACUACUGGAAACGGUAGCUAAUACCGCAUAAUGUCGCAAGACCAAAGAGGGGGACCUUCGGGCCUCUUGCCAUCGGAUGUGCCCAGAUGGGAUUAGCUUGUUGGUGGGGUAACGGCUCACCAAGGCGACGAUCCCUAGCUGGUCUGAGAGGAUGACCAGCCACACUGGGACUGAGACACGGUCCAGACUCCUACGGGAGGCAGCAGUGGGGAAUAUUGCACAAUGGGCGCAAGCCUGAUGCAGCCAUGCCGCGUGUAUGAAGAAGGCCUUCGGGUUGUAAAGUACUUUCAGCGGGGAGGAAGGGAGUAAAGUUAAUACCUUUGCUCAUUGACGUUACCCGCAGAAGAAGCACCGGCUAACUCCGUG